UAAAACCUGUAAAACUAAUUACAUCCUCUGAAUGCAACUCAGACACUUUACUUAAGCUAAGGCCUU
Molecule: transfer RNA, 66 nt
Filed under: Aphaniotis fusca (Dusky earless agama)
Lineage: Eukaryota; Metazoa; Chordata; Lepidosauria; Squamata; Agamidae
Description: tRNA-Ala
Source: RNAcentral